CCUACGGGAGGCAGCAGUGGGGACUAUUGGGCAAUGGGCGCAAGCCUGACCCAGCAACGCCGCGUGAAGGAAGAAGGCUUUCGGGUUGUAAACUUCUUUUGUCAGGGACGAAGCAAGUGACGGUACCUGACGAAUAAGCCACGGCUAACUACGUGCCAGCAGCAGCGGUAAUACGUAGGCGGCAAGCGUUAUCCGGAUUGAUUGGGUGUAAAGGGCGUGUAGGCGGGAAUGCAAGUCAGAUGUGAAAACUAUGGGCUCAACCCAUAGCCUGCAUUUGAAACUGUAUUUCUUGAGUGCUGGAGAGGCAAUCGGAAUUCCGUGUGUAGCGGUGAAAUGCGUAGAUAUACGGAGGAACACCAGUGGCGAAGGCGGAUUGCUGGACAGUAACUGACGCUGAGGCGCGAAAGCGUGGGGAGCAAACAGGAUUAGAUACCCUUGUAGUC
This 443-nucleotide ribosomal RNA is filed under the name uncultured bacterium. RNAcentral's name for it is "partial 16S ribosomal RNA". It matches the Rfam family "Bacterial small subunit ribosomal RNA", at positions 338 to 795 of the family's 1533-position model. The record is from RNAcentral.